Molecule: long non-coding RNA, 299 nt
Filed under: Oryza brachyantha (malo sina)
Lineage: Eukaryota; Viridiplantae; Streptophyta; Magnoliopsida; Poales; Poaceae
Description: long non-coding RNA (OBRA_LNC001433)
Source: RNAcentral
GGGGGGGGGGCAAGAACCCCCUUUUUUUUGCUUGGUUGGUUUCCCUACCCCGCUGCCAAGAAGCGGCGGUUGUUUAAAGAGGGUGGUGAGUGAUGAGUGGCGAUGGAUCGUGGAGGAGGAGACGAAGAAGACGCGGGCGGGCGAUGGCGACUGAGGGGGGGACAAUCCACCCCCACAUGGUAGAUCCCUCCCUCCCUCUUGCUGUUGUCAAAGGGAGGAGGAGGAAGGGAACGCCAUCGCCGCGGCGUUCUGCCCCCCUCACCCUCAGGAGUCAGGACUCUACUAGCGGACUAGCCCAU